RNAcentral lists this ribosomal RNA (510 nucleotides) under uncultured bacterium. RNAcentral's name for it is "partial 16S ribosomal RNA". It matches the Rfam family "Bacterial small subunit ribosomal RNA", at positions 28 to 507 of the family's 1533-position model. The record is from RNAcentral.
GACGAACGCUGGCGGCGUGCUUAACACAUGCAAGUCGAACGAAGAGCGAUGGAAGCUUGCUUCUAUCAAUCUUAGUGGCGCACGGGUGAGUAACGCGUAAUCAACCUGCCCUUCAGAGGGGGACAACAGAUGGAAACGACUGCUAAUACCUCAUACGAUCUAAUCUCGGCAUCUUGGAUAGAUGAAAGGUGGCCUCUACAUGUAAGCUUUCACUGAAGGAGGGGAUUGCGUCUGAUUAGCUAGGUGUAGGGGUAACGGCCCACCAAGGGGAUGAUCAGUAGCCGGUCUGAGAGGAGGAGCGGCCAAAUUGGGACUGAGACACGGCCCAGACUCCUACGGGAGGCAGCAGUGGGGAAUCUUCACCAAUGGACGAAAGGCUGACGGAGCAACGCCGCGUGAGUGAUGACGGCCUUAGGGUUGCAAAGCUCUGUUAAUCGGGACGAAAGGACUUCUUGCGAACAGUUAGAAGGAUUGACGGUACCGGAAUAGAAAGCCACGGCUAACUACGUG